AUUCAAAUAGCUUAUGUAGAGUUUAAUAUUGAAGAUAUUAAGGAAAUUGAUUAUUUUUGAAUA
RNAcentral lists this transfer RNA (63 nucleotides) under Pediacus taiwanensis. Its description in RNAcentral is "tRNA-Phe". Lineage: Eukaryota; Metazoa; Arthropoda; Insecta; Coleoptera; Cucujidae. The record is from RNAcentral.